CGUGAGACAGUUCGGUCCCUAUCCGCUGUGCGCGUAGGAAUAUUGAGAAGGGCUGUCCCUAGUACGAGAGGACCGGGACGGACGAACCUCUGGUGUGCCAGUUGUCCUGCCAAGGGCAUGGCUGGUUGGCUACGUUCGGAAAGGAUAACCGCUGAAAGCAUCUAAGCGGGAAGCCUGCUUCGAGAUGAGUAUUCCCACCCCCUUUGAGGGGUUAAGGCUCCCAGUAGACGACUGGGUUGAUAGGCCAGAUGUGGAAGCCCGGUAACGGGUGGAGCUGACUGGUACUAAUAGGCCGAGGGCUUGUCCUCAGUUG
This 313-nucleotide ribosomal RNA is filed under the name Streptomyces parvus. RNAcentral describes it as "partial 23S ribosomal RNA". It matches the Rfam family "Bacterial large subunit ribosomal RNA", at positions 2620 to 2925 of the family's 2925-position model. Lineage: Bacteria; Bacillati; Actinomycetota; Actinomycetes; Kitasatosporales; Streptomycetaceae. The record is from RNAcentral.